AUUGAACGCUGGCGGCAUGCCUUACACAUGCAAGUCGAACGGCAGCGGGGGAGAAGCUUGCUUUUCCUGCCGGCGAGUGGCGAACGGGUGAGUAAUACAUCGGAACGUGCCCUGUAGUGGGGGAUAACUAGUCGAAAGAUUAGCUAAUACCGCAUACGACCUGAGGGUGAAAGUGGGGGACCGCAAGGCCUCAUGCUAUAGGAGCGGCCGAUGUCUGAUUAGCUAGUUGGUGGGGUAAAGGCCUACCAAGGCGACGAUCAGUAGCUGGUCUGCGAGGACGGUCAGCCACGCUGGGACUGAGACACGGCACAGACUCCUACGGGAGGCAGCAGUGGGGAAUUUUGGACAAUGGGCGAAAGCCUGAUCCAGCAAUGCCGCGUGUGUGAAGAAGGCCUUCGGGUUGUAAAGCACUUUUGUCCGGAAAGAAAUGGCUCUGGUUAAUACCUGGGGUCGAUGACGGUACCGGAAGAAUAAGGACCGGCUAACUACGUGCCAGCCGCCGCGGUAA
Molecule: ribosomal RNA, 508 nt
Filed under: uncultured bacterium
Lineage: Bacteria
Description: partial 16S ribosomal RNA
Rfam family: Bacterial small subunit ribosomal RNA
Source: RNAcentral